Molecule: small RNA, 468 nt
Filed under: Histoplasma ohiense
Lineage: Eukaryota; Fungi; Ascomycota; Eurotiomycetes; Onygenales; Ajellomycetaceae
Description: hypothetical lncRNA
Source: RNAcentral
AACACAAUUCUUUUCCUUCCAACAAGGUUGUUUCAUAUGACUUAUCAUCAAAUCAAGCCAAGUUGUAUUUGAAAAUCCACUCUUCACAGGCAUAUCCAUGUUCUUUAUGGUAGGGACUGCCCCAUCUACCACCCAUUCUUUCCCAUAGAUCACUCUUCGCACAAUUGUAUUGAUAGGAUGCUCAUCACCCCCUUUAUCCAUAUCAUGGUCACUAUCGGCAUUGAGGUCAUCAUCGCCCAUACCAUCAUCGCUUGUAGAAUUGUUAUCACUUGUAGAAUUGUCCUCCAUCAAUUCAUCCAAACAUUCCAUCUUGGAAUCCAUAUCAAUAUCCACACUGUCGUAGCCACUAUCAUCACUGGCAUCACUGAUAUCAUCACCAAUAUCAUCGUUGACAUCAUUGGCAUUGCUGGCAUCAUUGGCAUUGCUGGCAGACCACCCAGCAAAGAUAUCUUCUAUAGUUGUCCACAG